Molecule: ribosomal RNA, 343 nt
Filed under: uncultured bacterium
Lineage: Bacteria
Description: partial 16S ribosomal RNA
Rfam family: Bacterial small subunit ribosomal RNA
Source: RNAcentral
CCUACGGGAGGCAGCAGUGGGGAAUAUUGCACAAUGGGGGCAACCCUGAUGCAGCAACGCCGCGUGAAGGAAGACGGUUUUAUGAUUGUAAAACUCUGUUUUUAGUGAAGAAUAAUGACGUUCGCUAAUGAGCCUGCCACUGCCAACUACGUGCAAGACGCCUCGGUAAUACGUAGGUGGCAAGCGUUGUCCGGAAGUACUGGGUGUAAAGGGAGCGCAGGGGGGAAGCUAAGUUAGCGGUGAAAACUACGGGUUUAACUUGGAGACUGCAGCUGAUACUGGUGGUCUAGAGUGAAGUAGAGGUAGGCGGAAUGCAGGGUGUAGCGGUGAAAUGCGUAGAGAU